This is a long non-coding RNA of Vombatus ursinus (common wombat), 771 nucleotides long. RefSeq lists it as uncharacterized. Lineage: Eukaryota; Metazoa; Chordata; Mammalia; Diprotodontia; Vombatidae. The transcript is spliced from 2 exons. The record is from RefSeq and is a predicted model, not a curated record.
CCUUCCACACCCCACCCUUCCCUUACCCACAUCUUCCAGAUUGACCGACUCUGAGGAUCCUGCUAAUGCCUAAGUGGCUGUAAGUGAGCACCUGCUGAAAAGGUUGUUUCCAUGUACCUUGUUGUGGAACGGAAAAAGGGGACUGUCCUUGAACCUGAGGAUCUCUGUGGUUUACAGACUGAAAGAAGAGAGUUGUUUUAAUGUGCACUUCUCUCAUUAUGAGAGAUUUGGAGCAUUUUGUCAUAGGGCUAUUGAUAGCUUGGAUUUCUUCCUUUGAAAACUUCCUGUUCAUAUCCUUUGACCUAUUGAGAAUGUCUGUUAAUCUUGGAAACUGGAAUCAGUUCCUUUUAUAUCUUGCAUAUGUAACAGUCCUUAGAGAACUUUGCUACAAAGAUGUUUUUCCUCGCUUAACUGUUACCCUUCUCAUUUUCACAUUUGAUCUGUUUGUGCAAAAACAUUUCAACUUUAUAGAAGCCAAAUUAUCCAUUUUAUUUUCUGUGAUUCUCUCUGUUGCUUGUUCUGUCAUAACCUCUUCCCCUAUCCAUAGAUGUGAAAAGUAAUUUCCUCCUUGCUCCUAAUUUGCUAUUGAUUCCCCUUUUUACAACUAAUUUAUGUAUCCAUUUGUAGUUUAAUUGGAUAGGUGGUGUGAGGUGUUGAUGUUCUAUCAAAUUUCUGGGAAACUGCUUUUCAAAUAGUGUGUCCUCCCCUGCCCCACCCCCAACUGCAGUCUUUGGAUUUAUUAAACACUUAUUGUAUUUGUUUGCUUCUGUA